RNAcentral lists this ribosomal RNA (1372 nucleotides) under uncultured bacterium. Its description in RNAcentral is "bacterial SSU rRNA". It matches the Rfam family "Bacterial small subunit ribosomal RNA", at positions 28 to 1381 of the family's 1533-position model. The record is from RNAcentral.
GAUGAACGCUGGCGGCGUGCCUAAUACAUGCAAGUCGAGCGAACGGACGAGAAGCUUGCUUCUCUGAUGUUAGCGGCGGACGGGUGAGUAACACGUGGAUAACCUACCUAUAAGACUGGGAUAACUUCGGGAAACCGGAGCUAAUACCGGAUAAUAUUUUGAACCGCAUGGUUCAAAAGUGAAAGACGGUCUUGCUGUCACUUAUAGAUGGAUCCGCGCUGCAUUAGCUAGUUGGUAAGGUAACGGCUUACCAAGGCAACGAUGCAUAGCCGACCUGAGAGGGUGAUCGGCCACACUGGAACUGAGACACGGUCCAGACUCCUACGGGAGGCAGCAGUAGGGAAUCUUCCGCAAUGGGCGAAAGCCUGACGGAGCAACGCCGCGUGAGUGAUGAAGGUCUUCGGAUCGUAAAACUCUGUUAUUAGGGAAGGACAUAUGUGUAAGUAACUGUGCACAUCUUGACGGUACCUAAUCAGAAAGCCACGGCUAACUACGUGCCGGCAGCCGCGGUAAUACGUAGGUGGCAAGCGUUAUCCGGAAUUAUUGGGCGUAAAGCGCGCGUAGGCGGUUUUUUAAGUCUGAUGUGAAAGCCCACGGCUCAACCGUGGAGGGUCAUUGGAAACUGGAAAACUUGAGUGCAGAAGAGGAAAGUGGAAUUCCAUGUGUAGCGGUGAAAUGCGCAGAGAUAUGGAGGAACACCAGUGGCGAAGGCGACUUUCUGGUCUGUAACUGACGCUGAUGUGCGAAAGCGUGGGGAUCAAACAGGAUUAGAUACCCUGGUAGUCCACGCCGUAAACGAUGAGUGCUAAGUGUUAGGGGGUUUCCGCCCCUUAGUGCUGCAGCUAACGCAUUAAGCACUCCGCCUGGGGAGUACGACCGCAAGGUUGAAACUCAAAGGAAUUGACGGGGACCCGCACAAGCGGUGGAGCAUGUGGUUUAAUUCGAAGCAACGCGAAGAACCUUACCAAAUCUUGACAUCCUUUGACAACUCUAGAGAUAGAGCUUUCCCCUUCGGGGGACAAAGUGACAGGUGGUGCAUGGUUGUCGUCAGCUCGUGUCGUGAGAUGUUGGGUUAAGUCCCGCAACGAGCGCAACCCUUAAGCUUAGUUGCCAUCAUUAAGUUGGGCACUCUAAGUUGACUGCCGGUGACAAACCGGAGGAAGGUGGGGAUGACGUCAAAUCAUCAUGCCCCUUAUGAUUUGGGCUACACACGUGCUACAAUGGACAAUACAAAGGGCAGCGAAACCGCGAGGUCAAGCAAAUCCCAUAAAGUUGUUCUCAGUUCGGAUUGUAGUCUGCAACUCGACUACAUGAAGCUGGAAUCGCUAGUAAUCGUAGAUCAGCAUGCUACGGUGAAUACGUUCCCGGGUCU